UGAAGUGAACGUUUGUCAUAAGUCUGAGGUCG
This 32-nucleotide microRNA is filed under the name Brugia malayi. Its description in RNAcentral is "bma-miR-5864". The record is from miRBase by way of RNAcentral. Lineage: Eukaryota; Metazoa; Nematoda; Chromadorea; Rhabditida; Onchocercidae. RNAcentral also lists the same sequence under 1 other name.